CGCACAGUGAGGAGAGCAGCUGUGUGCAAGGUUGAAACAAAACGUUCAAAGCCCCCUUGGAAGCCCAUUCACAGGUGUGUGACUGUGAACCACAUCGUAAUCUCCUAGAAAGCAAGAACAUCAGGCUUACAUUUUUCACUUGCCUCUCAGGGCUCAGUGCUCUGCAGUAUAUACAUUGAGGAAACUGGGCCCUGACACAUUAACUUGCCCAAAAGAUCACAGUGGGCAACAUUCUAGAGCACAAACAAUGGAAGCUGACAGCAAUGUCAGCAAAGAUGGAAAACAGAACGUGGAGAGAGAUGUAGCUUACUAGAGCCCUGUGGCUUCAGUCCCCACCAGGAAUGUCGUUUAAGAGGAAGGUGAUCAAGCACAAAUUCACAUUUGCUUGAGGAAGAAUACAAAUGAUAUAUCACACACUAACUGUGUGCACAGCACUCUACCUAAAGAUCAGCGCUAACAGAGGAAUAAGCAGAGGCCUCCAGGAGCAAAGAGUGAAGAGUCUGGCAAGGCUUCAAGUACAGGGGUAAGUGGAUGGAGCUUUCACUGUAGAAUCUUUCCUGGAGAAAAAGCAAACAGUGGGGCAACAAUAAAGGCAUUAAAAAUAACUGUCAAGUUGAAGAAAAACUCCCUGAGGCCUCCCCAGAAGCCAAGCAGAUGCCGGUGCCAUGACUGUAUAGCCUGCACAACCAUCUGAAGUUUAUCAAUACAUGAUCUCCUCAAAAACGAAAGAAAUAAAACAAGUAUCUGCAAUU
RNAcentral lists this non-coding RNA (752 nucleotides) under Pongo abelii (Sumatran orangutan). The record is from RNAcentral. Lineage: Eukaryota; Metazoa; Chordata; Mammalia; Primates; Hominidae.